This 428-nucleotide ribosomal RNA is filed under the name uncultured bacterium. Its description in RNAcentral is "partial 16S ribosomal RNA". It matches the Rfam family "Bacterial small subunit ribosomal RNA", at positions 29 to 507 of the family's 1533-position model. The record is from RNAcentral.
AACGAACGCUGGCGGCAGGCCUAACACAUGCAAGUCGAGCGCCCUUUCGGGGGAGCGGCGGACGGGUGAGUAACGCGUGGGAAUAUGCCCUUCUCUACGGAAUAGCCUCGGGAAACUGAGAGUAAUACCGUAUACGCCCUAUGGGGGAAAGAUUUAUCGGGGAAGGAUUAGCCCGCGUUGGAUUAGGUAGUUGGUGGGGUAAUGGCCUACCAAGCCGACGAUCCAUAGCUGGUUUGAGAGGAUGAUCAGCCACACUGGGACUGAGACACGGCCCAGACUCCUACGGGAGGCAGCAGUGGGGAAUCUUAGACAAUGGGGGCAACCCUGAUCUAGCCAUGCCGCGUGAGUGAUGAAGGCCUUAGGGUUGUAAAGCUCUUUCAGCUGGGAAGAUAAUGACGGUACCAGCAGAAGCCCCGGCUAACUCCGUG